GUCCGGUCGGAUGACGGUACCCGCAGAAGAAGCACCGGCUAACUACGUGCCAGCAGCCGCGGUAAUACGUAGGGUGCGAGCGUUAAUCGGAAUUACUGGGCGUAAAGGGUGCGCAGGCCGUUCUGUAAGACCGGUGUGAAAUCCCCGGACUCAACCUGGGAAUUGCGCUGGUGACUGCAUGGCUAGAGCACGGUAGAGGGGGGUGGAAUUCCUGGUGUAGCAGCGAAAUGCGUAGAGAUCAGGAGGAACACCGAUGGAGAAGGCAGCCCCCUGGGCCUGUACUGACGCUCAUGCACGAAAGCGUGGGUAGCAUACAGGAUUAGAUACCCUGGUAGUCCACGCCCUAAACGAUGAGAACUAGCCGUCUGGAGUCUUCGUGCUCUGGGUGGCGCAGCUAACGCGUGAAGUUCUCCGCCUGGGGAGUACGGCCGCAGGGUUAAAACUCAAAGGAAUUGACGGGGACCCGCACAAGCGGUGGAUGAUGUGGAUUAAUUCGGUGCAACGCGAAGAACCUUACCUAC
This 521-nucleotide ribosomal RNA is filed under the name uncultured beta proteobacterium. Its description in RNAcentral is "bacterial SSU rRNA". It matches the Rfam family "Bacterial small subunit ribosomal RNA", at positions 459 to 978 of the family's 1533-position model. Lineage: Bacteria; Pseudomonadati; Pseudomonadota; Betaproteobacteria. The record is from RNAcentral.